This 462-nucleotide ribosomal RNA is filed under the name uncultured bacterium. RNAcentral describes it as "partial 16S ribosomal RNA". It matches the Rfam family "Bacterial small subunit ribosomal RNA", at positions 28 to 507 of the family's 1533-position model. The record is from RNAcentral.
GACGAACGUUGGCGGCGUGCUUAACACAUGCAAGUCGAGCGGAAAGGCCCUUCGGGGUACUCGAGCGGCGAACGGGUGAGUAACACGUGGGUAACCUGCCCCAGACUUUGGGAUAACCCUCGGAAACGGGGGCUAAUACCGGAUACGACACAGCUUCGCAUGGGGUCUGUGUGGAAAGUUUUUCGGUUUGGGAUGGGCUCGCGGCCUAUCAGCUUGUUGGUGGGGUGAUGGCCUACCAAGGCGACGACGGGUAGCCGGCCUGAGAGGGCGACCGGCCACACUGGGACUGAGACACGGCCCAGACUCCUACGGGAGGCAGCAGUGGGGAAUAUUGCACAAUGGGCGGAAGCCUGAUGCAGCGACGCCGCGUGAGGGAUGACGGCCUUCGGGUUGUAAACCUCUUUCAGCAGGGACGAAGCGUAAGUGACGGUACCUGCAGAAGAAGCGCCGGCCAACUACGUG